RNAcentral lists this ribosomal RNA (773 nucleotides) under uncultured bacterium. RNAcentral's name for it is "bacterial SSU rRNA". It matches the Rfam family "Bacterial small subunit ribosomal RNA", at positions 8 to 798 of the family's 1533-position model. The record is from RNAcentral.
AGAGUUUGAUCCUGGCUCAGGACGAACGCUGGCGGCGUGCUUAACACAUGCAAGUCGAACGGAAAGGCCCUUCGGGGUACUCGAGUGGCGAACGGGUGAGUAACACGUGGGUGAUCUGCCCUGCACUUUGGGAUAAGCCUGGGAAACUGGGUCUAAUACCGAAUAGGACCGCGCGCUUCAUGGUGUGUGGUGGAAAGCUUUUGCGGUGUGGGAUGGGCCCGCGGCCUAUCAGCUUGUUGGUGGGGUAAUGGCCUACCAAGGCGACGACGGGUAGCCGGCCUGAGAGGGUGACCGGCCACACUGGGACUGAGAUACGGCCCAGACUCCUACGGGAGGCAGCAGUGGGGAAUAUUGCACAAUGGGCGCAAGCCUGAUGCAGCGACGCCGCGUGAGGGAUGACGGCCUUCGGGUUGUAAACCUCUUUCACCAGGGACGAAGCGCAAGUGACGGUACCUGGAGAAGAAGCACCGGCCAACUACGUGCCAGCAGCCGCGGUAAUACGUAGGGUGCGAGCGUUGUCCGGAAUUACUGGGCGUAAAGAGCUCGUAGGUGGUUUGUCGCGUUGUUCGUGAAAACUCACAGCUUAACUGUGGGCGUGCGGGCGAUACGGGCAGACUAGAGUACUGCAGGGGAGACUGGAAUUCCUGGUGUAGCGGUGGAAUGCGCAGAUAUCAGGAGGAACACCGGUGGCGAAGGCGGGUCUCUGGGCAGUAACUGACGCUGAGGAGCGAAAGCGUGGGGAGCGAACAGGAUUAGAUACCCCGGUAGUCCAA